This 2169-nucleotide long non-coding RNA is filed under the name Zea mays. RNAcentral's name for it is "long non-coding RNA (ZMAY_LNC000081)". Lineage: Eukaryota; Viridiplantae; Streptophyta; Magnoliopsida; Poales; Poaceae. The record is from RNAcentral.
GCUCUCAAGCUUGCUGAACACGAAGGGCGAGGAGGGGUGGGCACCUUUUCACUCUCCGACAACUCUCUCUCUAAUCAUUGACAUCCUGCUUGAACGAGGUAUGACAAUUGCAGUUCCUAAUGCUUUUAUUAAGUUUCGACAUGCCAUUGCAUUUAGACAAACAAUUAUGCAUUAAUUAGAGCUCCUUGAAAUUUAAAAUUCUGUAAAGUCAUUUCUAUUUGUUAAUGGACAAUUUCAGAAUUUAUCCAAGCUUUUACCUCUGUUCUUAACUGUAAGUUGAUUUGGCUUGUUCAGGGAUAUAGCUUUUGCUAUGCAUCUAUAUUACACUAUCUCUAGAUACAUAGUAAACCUAUGGAUCUAGAAAAGCUAAUUCCACUUAUAAUUUGGAUCGGAGAGGGGAUUAAUUAGCACCGAAAUUUUGCCUCAAGUUAAUAAACACUCCAUCCUUGCUACCUGGAAGUAUCACUUUGACUUGGGACAUUUGAAGCAAACUACACGCCUCCAAACACUGCGCUUGUUAUGUACUAAAAUGGUUUUUAGCAUUGUUUAGUGCCAUGCUCAGCUAACUAGAUAAUACAAAGGAAAUACAAGAUCAUGACAGGGUCAAGUGCCCAUCAUUCAUCCUAUCACAAUUUGCAAGCUACAUGUUAGAAAAGGAGAACAGCUGGGCCUGGUUGCAUAUCAUAGCUGGAUUCAUAUAAAUUGUUUGUAUUCUGUUACAUUAUCAAGUCAUGCUGGUCAAAAUAGAAUAUCUCAUUAAAUAUAUUUUUAAUGAGAUAAUUUUCAGGCAAUUAGACAUUUCUGUUACAUUAUCACGUACGUCCAAAUGGGUCAAACAAAUAUAAUGUCUUGGAAUGAACACCGGAAAUGAUCACUCAAACAGUAGUGUAUCAGUCUCCUAAUUAUUGGUGUGCAACUUAAUUCAUCUAAGUACUUUUUCAUUGUUCAGAAAACUUUGUUUGUCUGCUAUGCACAUACUCCCUCUAGACACAAAUAAGUGUCGUUUUGGACAACAAAAUAAUCCCCAAAACACAUUUCAAUGCUUGUAAAUUAUAACAACUAUAUUUUAUGGGACCAGUAGCGACCCAACACUAGAUGAUAGCCUGGGCAAAUGAUAUGGGACUACAUUUCAAGACAAAUCUACCCAUUACAUUUCUUUUCCUGCAUGUAUCCAUUGGCUUUUCAACAAGAAUCUCUACUCCUGUUAAGACUCUACCGUGUCCUAUGAAAACUAUCACUAAAUUUGCACUGUUGUACUAUAACUUAUUGCUAGCAUGCCAUCUUAUGAACUUGUUAAUGGAAUCCUAUCAUUAUUAUUUAAAAUUAUGCUAAUGUCCUGGGUAUAGGAACAAUCACUUCAUGAAGGUAUGCCAUUUACUCAGAACGCACUACUGCUGAUCUGCAGUUUAGGUCAAUAUUUCUAGAUUGCUUUUACAUUUGGUAUUGAAGUUGACCAAAUGGAAUAUGAUUUAAUUGAUCUAGGUAACAUGUACGUGUUUCAGUAUUUUAAAUCUGACAUUAAACAAGGCUCCAUUUCAUUCUCAUUCCACAAUAAAGUGAAACAUGUAUUGUGUUUAUUUAUGUUUUCAAGUUUUAUUGUUCUUCUACCUACACAAAUCUGCAUCCUUGUUUUGCUUAUUCCUUUUUUGUUUUUAUUGUAUUUUGUUUUGCAGUAACAAGCCUCUUGACACAUGCUCCUUGCAGCCAUCACGAUUCACGACUAUCUUCUUGACCACAGAGAAGCAGUGAACGAUGCUUCACUGGAAGCCCCAGAGGCAUGACCUGUUCACUGACGCAUUUGGGUUUCGCCAGAUUAUACAUGAUGGACUCAUGUUCAUGCAUAAUUUCUCCAUUAGGUCCUAUGAGAUUGGGGCAUAUAGGACUAAAUCUAUAGAGACACUGACGAACCAUUUACAUGAAAUGAUUUAUUAAGUUUGAGGUGUGAGAUUUCAUGGCUGAGAUUGGACGAUGAAAAAGAUUGGAUUUAAUGAAUGAAACAAUACUUAAUCAUGUGAAGAUUGCUGGGCUACUAGGUGAUGGAUUUGGCUCAGACACUGACGAACCAUUCUUUUAUUGCUAGGAUUUGAUAUGGCUCUAAGAUGAUCCAGGAGAAGGUGUACACCGGAGCCAAGGUCACAACAUGAUCUUUGCAGUCCUCACUCGUUCUCU